Molecule: ribosomal RNA, 274 nt
Filed under: uncultured bacterium
Lineage: Bacteria
Description: partial 16S ribosomal RNA
Rfam family: Bacterial small subunit ribosomal RNA
Source: RNAcentral
AUACGGAGGAUGCGAGCGUUAUCCGGAUUUAUUAGGUUUAAAGGGUGUGUAGGCGGUAUUUUAAGUCAGUGGUGAAAUCUCGGAGCUUAACUUCGAAACUGCCAUUGAUACUGGAAUACUUGAGUAUAGUUGAGGUAGGCGGAAUAUGUAAUGUAGCGGUGAAAUGCAUAGAUAUUACAUAGAACACCGAUUGCGAAAGCAGCUUACUAAACUAUUACUGACGCUGAUGCACGAAAGCGUGGGGAGCGAACGGGAUUAGAAACCCCAGUAGUCC